CCACUCACUCAACAAUUACACAAUCUUGACAAAAUCCCAGGUUGCAAAAAAUUAUAUUGUCAAACUCAUACAUCCAGGUAGCAAUAUACAUCACGCUACAUCUAAGUCACAUGUCCAAAAUAACAAAGAACAUAGCCAUUUCAACAUCUUGAAUAUUCAUCAAGCUAACAAAAAGAGCUGUAGCUACCCCUAAACAUUACUGAGGCUUUUCACUUUACUGAGACAUCCUCCAUACCACACUAUUAACCAAUCCGAAAGAAGCAAAUGGUAGGCAAAUUAGUCAAAGAUAUAAAGAUUAGAGUUAGCUCUAGGUUCAUGCAUAUCUAUUGGACAGAACCAAGCUCCCUGGUCAACAUAUAACAGUUAAUGAAACAAAUCUAUCCACA
This 386-nucleotide long non-coding RNA is filed under the name Sorghum bicolor (sorghum). RNAcentral's name for it is "long non-coding RNA (SBIC_LNC016448)". Lineage: Eukaryota; Viridiplantae; Streptophyta; Magnoliopsida; Poales; Poaceae. The record is from RNAcentral.